This 1220-nucleotide long non-coding RNA is filed under the name Olea europaea subsp. europaea. Lineage: Eukaryota; Viridiplantae; Streptophyta; Magnoliopsida; Lamiales; Oleaceae. The record is from RNAcentral.
GAUGAGCUUCAGCUUGAUCUUCAUCAUGUUGCCGGAGGCCUAAUUGGUGAUUACUAUAGCUUUUUGUUCAACUCUAAGGUAUUUUUAAUCAAACUUUCAUCCCAAUUUAUCUUAUGAGGAUGAAGUUAUUAAAUACUCGGUACGACUCAAUGUCGUUAUACAGAUCUGUGAAGGUUCAACUGUGUACGCGAGUGCAAUAGCUAACAAGCUUAUCGAAGUCGUGGACAAGCAGUAUGCAGCAAUUCCACCAACUAGUAGCUAUUAGGUAUGUGUAUAUGCAGGAGUUUUUUUAAUUUUUAAUUUUUAAUUUUUUUAAAAAUUAUAUAGCAAUUUUUUGAGUAUGAAUGAUCUAAAUUAGUGUGGAGAAUAACAAUUAAUUAAUGACUGAAGUUGGGAAUUAAGCUUUAUUUGACUGGUAUAGACAGCAGAAGAUUCAUCUGAAUAGUAAGUUGCAGUUUUACGACAGUAGUAGAUCAGAUAAUAAGUUAGUUUCAAACAUAUAUGUACAGUUACUUAAUAUGGGCAUGCAAAAAGUACAUUAAUACUCAGACUUGCAGACUUAAAUUUAUGUCUUCAGUUAACUGCAGUCCAAGUUUCCCAGAUAUACAUAAAAAAUAAGGUUAAUCAAAUAUGUUAAUUUGAAUCUCUUUUUGACAGAUAACAUUAGUAUGAACGGCAAAAUCUUAUGCAACUUUUACGAAAUCACUUAAUGUUAAAUAGUUUACUAACGGCUUUACCAUCCAACUUUAACUCAUGUGAAAGUCAUGUGAUUUUGAGGUUCGUCAUCGAACGAAAUAAACUAAACAUUUCAGUUUCCCUAAGAUGCUAUGUUAAUUGCAGUUUAACCUGGCUAUCAUAAUAUUAAUGGCAUUAAUGAAAUUGCAAUAUUCAAUUGCGUUAUAAGGGUAAAUUUCACGUGGUUAAAACUUAAAAUACAAUAAUAAUAAUAAUAAUAAUAAUAAUAAUAAUAGUAAAGUGUUAAUUUCUUUCUGUUUGCAGAUUAAAAUUGUUCAUUGGAGGAGGAUCGAAGUUGGAUAAAGACUGAUGACUACAAAUUAUGCAUCAUUUUUCUGUUGAAUAUUAGGCAGUAGGGAAGAUGUGGGUCGUGACAGACAUCCAUUUAUAUUAUGCUGAUUUACUCAAUGAAUAGUGAUACAUAUUAUAUAUGUAAUAAAUCUAUGUAUUUCUAUGGCCAAAUUAAAAAUGAAUGCAUGCUCAAG